RNAcentral lists this ribosomal RNA (497 nucleotides) under uncultured bacterium. RNAcentral's name for it is "partial 16S ribosomal RNA". It matches the Rfam family "Bacterial small subunit ribosomal RNA", at positions 28 to 507 of the family's 1533-position model. The record is from RNAcentral.
GUUGAACGCUGGCGGCAGGCCUAAUACAUGCAAGUCGAGCGGACAGAGGGAGAUCGUUCCUCGAUUCCGUUGCCGACGGACGAGUAAUUAAUAGGAAUAUGCCUGGCAGUGGGGGCUAGGGUAAGGUCAGGGGACCUGAUCUAGUAUCCGUCAAUAGAUUGAAAGUCAGGGUUCAUUAGUCAACACCGUAUUUGCUGUCCCUUGUAGGUGUUACCUCGCCGCAUUAGCUAGUUGGUAAGGUAACGGCCUACCAAGGCAACGAUGCGUAGCCGACCUGAGAGGAUGAUCGGCCACACUGGAACUGAGACACGGUCCAGACUCCUACGGGAGGCAGCAGUAGGGAAUAUUGCGCAAUGGGCGAAAGCCUGACGGAGCCAUGCCGCGUGAGUGAUGAAGGUCUUCGGAUCGUAAAACUCUGUUAUUAGGGAAGAACAAAUGUGUAAGUAAACAUGCACGUCUUGACGGUACCUACUCAGAAAGCCACGGCUAACUACGUG